UACGAAGGGGGCAAGCGUUGUUCGGAAUUACUGGGCGUAAAGGGCGCGUAGGCGGCUUAUCAAGUCAGGCGUGAAAUUCCCGGGCUCAACCUGGGGGCUGCGCUUGAUACUGAUUGGCUUGAAUGCGGGAGAGGAUAGUGGAAUUCCCAGUGUAGAGGUGAAAUUCGUAGAUAUUGGGAAGAACACCGGUGGCGAAGGCGGCUAUCUGGACCGACAUUGACGCUGAGGCGCGAAAGCGUGGGGAGCAAACAGG
RNAcentral lists this ribosomal RNA (253 nucleotides) under uncultured bacterium. RNAcentral describes it as "partial 16S ribosomal RNA". It matches the Rfam family "Bacterial small subunit ribosomal RNA", at positions 524 to 776 of the family's 1533-position model. The record is from RNAcentral.